RNAcentral lists this ribosomal RNA (265 nucleotides) under uncultured Sphingobacteriales bacterium. Its description in RNAcentral is "partial 16S ribosomal RNA". It matches the Rfam family "Bacterial small subunit ribosomal RNA", at positions 1117 to 1382 of the family's 1533-position model. Lineage: Bacteria; Pseudomonadati; Bacteroidota; Sphingobacteriia; Sphingobacteriales. The record is from RNAcentral.
GCCAUCAGGUAAUGCUGGGGACGUCUAAAGGAACUGCCUACGCAAGUAGUGAGGAAGCGGGGAUGACGUCAAAUCAGCAGGCCCUUACGUCCAGGGCUACACACGUGCUACAAUGGCCGAUACAGAGGGCAGCUACCUGGUGACAGGAUGCAAAUCUCCAAAGUCGGUCUCAGUUCGGAUCGGAGUCUGCAACCCGACUCCGUGAAGUUGGAUUCGCUAGUAAUCGCGCAUCAGCCAUGGCGCGGUGAAUACGUUCCCGGGCCUU